RNAcentral lists this ribosomal RNA (655 nucleotides) under Tomentella sp. 3 SE-2015. RNAcentral's name for it is "eukaryotic LSU rRNA". The stretch from base 221 to 375 matches the Rfam family "5.8S ribosomal RNA". Lineage: Eukaryota; Fungi; Basidiomycota; Agaricomycetes; Thelephorales; Thelephoraceae. The record is from RNAcentral.
GACCUGCGGAAGGAUCAUUACCGAACUGUCGACACGAGUUGUUGCUGGUCCUCAAACGGGGGCAUGUGCACACUCUGUUUACACAUCCACUCACACCUGUGCACCCACUGUAGUUCUGUGGCCUGGGGGGCUCCGUCCUCUUGCUGCGGUUCUAUGUCUUUACACACACACUGUAAUAAAGUUUCAUGGAAUGCAUGACGCGUCUAACGCAAUACAAUACAACUUUCAGCAACGGAUCUCUUGGCUCUCGCAUCGAUGAAGAACGCAGCGAAAUGCGAUAAGUAAUGUGAAUUGCAGAAUUCAGUGAAUCAUCGAAUCUUUGAACGCACCUUGCGCCCUUUGGCUAUUCCAGAGGGCAUGCCUGUUUGAGUAUCAUGAACACCUCAACUCUCACGGUUUUUCCGUGAUGAGCUUGGACUUUGGGGGUCUUGCUGGCCUGCGGUCGGCUCCUCUCGAAUGAAUCAGCUUGCCAGUGUCUGGUGGCAUCACAGGUGUGAUAACUAUCUACGCUUGUGGUUUUCCACCAGGUAACCUUCAGUGAUGGAGGUUCGCUGGGGCUAAUAAACGUCUCUCCUCAGCGAGGACAGCUUCUUGAACGUUUGAUCUCAAAUCAGGUAGGGCUACCCGCUGAACUUAAGCAUAUCAAUAAGCGGGA